AGUCGAACGAGAGAUGAGGAGCUUGCUCUUCAAAUCGAGUGGCGAACGGGUGAGUAACGCGUGAGGAACCUGCCUCAAAGAGGGGGACAACAGUUGGAAACGACUGCUAAUACCGCAUAAGCCCACGGCUCGGCAUCGAGCAGAGGGAAAAGGAGUGAUCCGCUUUGAGAUGGCCUCGCGUCCGAUUAGCUAGUUGGUGAGGUAAUGGCCCACCAAGGCGACGAUCGGUAGCCGGACUGAGAGGUUGAACGGCCACAUUGGGACUGAGACACGGCCCAGACUCCUACGGGAGGCAGCAGUGGGGAAUAUUGCACAAUGGGGGAAACCCUGAUGCAGCGACGCCGCGUGGAGGAAGAAGGUCUUCGGAUUGUAAACUCCUGUUGUUGAGGAAGAUAAUGACGGUACUCAACAAGGAAGUGACGGCU
RNAcentral lists this ribosomal RNA (425 nucleotides) under uncultured bacterium. Its description in RNAcentral is "bacterial SSU rRNA". It matches the Rfam family "Bacterial small subunit ribosomal RNA", at positions 60 to 498 of the family's 1533-position model. The record is from RNAcentral.